This 1694-nucleotide long non-coding RNA is filed under the name Monomorium pharaonis (pharaoh ant). RNAcentral describes it as "uncharacterized LOC105831890, transcript variant X7". The record is from RNAcentral. Lineage: Eukaryota; Metazoa; Arthropoda; Insecta; Hymenoptera; Formicidae.
GGUUUGUUUUUUAUUCCUGCACUGCUGUACUGGUGCAAUAAAUGCGCGAGUGUUUACGGACAUAUUUAAAGCCGAACAAAUUUUUAAACGUACUUUUUGGUAAUUAGUAAUGGCAUAAAUUACUCCGGAGUUUGCAUCGCUGUGUGUUUGCUCACUCUACCAAGGGGAACAUAACCUCCAAAUGACAGUUUGCUCAAUGUGCUGGACUAUAUAAACAAUUUAUUUCCCAUGGAGCAGUCACUGUCAAACAUCGAGGUGGUGAAUAAUCUAGAAAAUGACACACUAUUGAUAGGGAGAUACUGGCAGUUAUGCGUGAUCAGACAAACGUGGGUCAGGAUGAUAGGACAGUUUUGGAAGAUGCAUACAAGAUAAGGCAAUUGUUUGUUGUUCCAUAUAAAAGACAUACAGAAUAAGGUGGAGCAGUCCGAGUGAUAAGAGGCCAAAAUCCAUAAACCCAGAGAGGAUAAUGUUGGCAACGCUUCAUGAAUUAUGGGUUAGAAAAGCAAAAGUAGUACCCAGUACUCUGAAGAUUAUCUACUCCUUCCAGCUGAAAUGGCAAUAACAGAUCAGAAGAUGGAGAUGCAAAGAUAGACGAGACAGAAGAAGUAGGAUCAGGAAAUGAAGAACCAGUGGAACCAGAAGAGGAACCUGAAGAAGUGGUUUCGGACCAGGAGUAGCAAAUAGCCCAUACAAUCCGUAGACACCUUCAGAAAUGGAUGUUGGUUCUGGUAUCAUAGGUAGCUUAGAUUGACAUACGACAAAUAUUGAAGUAUGUAUUCUCAUGACAAGCAACGUGAAACAUGAUGACAAUAAGCAGUCAACCCAGGAAUUUCAGUUGGUAUGUGUACUGUUUAUCUACCUAUCGAAGUUUGAACUAUAAGCCUAAUAUGUGAUCAACUGGAGCUUGUGAUACUGUGACGAUGGAAUUAAAGUGAUUCUAAGUGAAGACCGUGAAGCUGUCGGCACCUUACUUUCGAUCAUUUGCAUAUGCUGGAAGGAGUAGAUAAUCUAAAGUACACAUAUUAAAAUUAUAAAAUCUACUGUGGAUUUCUUUGGUUUCAGAGUAUUAACACAAAGAUAACAAUGGAGAAAUUAUUUUACCAUUGCAAGGAGUGAUGCAGAUGAUGCAACAUUUUAACAGCUACUUGGACAUAUCACAAGUGAGGCAAUUAUCUGAUCAAGUUUGUCAGAUUCAGGAUGAGUUGACUCAGCAGAUUGCAGAGGAUUUCAAAUAGGCCUUUUCGGGUCAAAAUCUAAAGCACUUUAAUCAGUUAAUGGAAGGAUGUUUAGUAUUAUCAGAAUUGCAUCCUAAAGUAAAAUCUGCUUAUUUGGUUUGUGAAUAUCCAAUUACAAGAAUACGCACAUUUAUUUGACGAGAAUCAGAAUUUUGCCUAGUUGGAUAAAUCGAAGAUAUACAUGGAUUUUAAAGAACAUCUGCUCGAUUUUAAGACAAAGUUUGGUGCAAUCUUUCCCCAAGGUUAGGAGAUUUCUGAGCGAAUAGCUAUACAAUUCUGCCAUAUCACGUGUGAAGAUCUUAUUAAGUUAACGAACAAGAGACGCAAUGAGAUACACAUUAAAUUAUUGUUCUACUUCUAUUUCAACUACGUUUGUAUUUAUAUAAAAAUUUAUUACAUAUACUGUAUUGUAUUAUAAUUAUUAUAUAAUUGAUGUAAAAAUAAAUAUUAAUUAUUAUA